CAGCCGCCACGGGAAUACGUAGGGUGCAAGCGUUAAUCGGAAUUACUGGGCGUAAAGCGUGCGCAGGCGGUUAUAUAAGACAGAUGUGAAAUCCCCGGGCUCAACCUGGGAACUGCAUUUGUGACUGUAUAGCUAGAGUACGGCAGAGGGGGAUGGAAUUCCGCGUGUAGCAGUGAAAUGCGUAGAUAUGCGGAGGAACACCGAUGGCGAAGGCAAUCCCCUGGGCCUGUACUGACGCUCAUGCACGAAAGCGUGGGGAGCAAACAGGAUUAGAGACCCCAGUAGUCCCUGUCUCUUAUAA
Molecule: ribosomal RNA, 301 nt
Filed under: uncultured bacterium
Lineage: Bacteria
Description: partial 16S ribosomal RNA
Rfam family: Bacterial small subunit ribosomal RNA
Source: RNAcentral